Molecule: small RNA, 27 nt
Filed under: Bombyx mori (domestic silkworm)
Lineage: Eukaryota; Metazoa; Arthropoda; Insecta; Lepidoptera; Bombycidae
Description: ovarian small RNA-32246
Source: RNAcentral
UGAGUAAGUAUGGAACACGUUUUUUUA